RNAcentral lists this ribosomal RNA (253 nucleotides) under uncultured bacterium. RNAcentral describes it as "partial 16S ribosomal RNA". It matches the Rfam family "Bacterial small subunit ribosomal RNA", at positions 524 to 776 of the family's 1533-position model. The record is from RNAcentral.
UACGAAGGGGGCUAGCGUUGCUCGGAAUGACUGGGCGUAAAGGGCGCGUAGGCGGUGCAUUUGGUCAGGCGUGAAAUUUCUGGGCUUAACCUGGGGACUGCGUCUGAUACUGGAUGGCUUGAGAUUGGGAGAGGGAUGCGGAAUUCCAGGUGUAGCGGUGAAAUGCGUAGAUAUUGCUCGGAAGGCCAGAGCCGAAGGGGCCCUACUGGUGCGCAACUGACACUGAGGCACGAAAGCGUGGGGAGCAAACAGG